Molecule: ribosomal RNA, 499 nt
Filed under: uncultured bacterium
Lineage: Bacteria
Description: bacterial SSU rRNA
Rfam family: Bacterial small subunit ribosomal RNA
Source: RNAcentral
AGCGAACGUUAGCGGCGGGCCUAACACAUGCAAGUCGAACGCGAAAGGUCUUCGGACUGAGUAGAGUGGCGCACGGGUGAGUAACACGUAGGUAAUCUACCCUUUGGCGGGGGAUAACGUUCCGAAAGGAGCGCUAAUACCGCAUAAGACCACGGAGUCUCCGGACGCUGUGGGAAAAGGUGGCCUCUUCUUGAAAGCUACCACCGAAGGAUGAGCCUGCGUCCCAUCAGCUAGUUGGUAAGGUAAUGGCUUACCAAGGCGAAGACGGGUAGCUGGUCUGAGAGGAUGAUCAGCCACACUGGAACUGAGACACGGUCCAGACUCCUACGGGAGGCAGCAGUGGGGAAUCUUGCGCAAUGGGCGAAAGCCUGACGCAGCGACGCCGCGUGAGUGAUGAAGGCCUUCGGGUUGUAAAGCUCUGUGGGAGGAGACGAAUAAGUCGUAGCGAACAGCUCCGAUGAUGACGGUAUCCUUUUAGCAAGCACCGGCUAACUCUGUG